GGGUCUAGGCGCAACUCCAAGUUGCCGGCGUCCCCCACUGCAGUGACCAGGGAGCCACCGAUCUUCAGUAACCCCAGACUAAGCUCCCCGCUCCCAGUGCCUGGUUCGCCGAACGAGGUGGGCAGACGGCUCGGGACCAUGACUAGAGCUGGCAUGGAGCGGUGGCGCGACCGGCUGGCACUGGUGACGGGAGCCUCGGGGGGCAUCGGUGCGGCCGUGGCCCGGGCAUUAGUCCAGCAGGGACUGAAGGUUGUGGGUUGUGCCCGCACCGUUGGCAACAUCGAGAUGUGACCUGUCAAAUGAGGAGGACAUCCUCUCCAUGUUCUCAGCUGUCCGAUCCCAGCACAGUGGCGUGGAUAUCUGCAUCAACAAUGCCGGCAUGGCCCGGCCUGACACCCUGCUCUCGGGCAGCACCAGCGGAUGGAAGGACAUGUUCAAUGUGAAUGUGCUGGCCCUCAGCAUCUGCACUCGGGAGGCUUAUCAGUCCAUGAAGGAGCGGAACAUAGACGACGGGCACAUCAUUAACAUCAACAGCAUGUGUGGCCACCGAGUCCCACCCCAGUCUGUGAUCCAUUUCUAUAGUGCGACUAAGUAUGCCGUCACUGCACUGACAGAGGGACUCAGGCAAGAGCUUCUGGAGGCCCAGACCCAUAUCCGGGCCACGGUGAGGCUGUGGUCUAGCCCUGGUGGGAAUGGCGUGGGCCCAGCCCUCCUGCCUGCGAGUGCCCAGGGAGACUUGCUGAGAGACUCUGCGCUCAACAGUGAAAAAGUCCUGGGCGCUGCUGCUCAUUACAGGGACUGUCACCUCAAAGCCAAGGGCCGGACUUACGAUUUGAGGGGGAGAGGGACUAAGGGAAAUCACACAGUGACUGUGAUACCAGCACUCUUGGCUCUUCCCUAGAAAACCACAGGACUCUGGGUAAAUCACUGAACCUCCCUAAGCCUCAGUCUUCACAUCUGUGAAAUGGAAUGAUGCUUUAAGGAACACUUUAUAAAGCAUUAAUGAAACAUAGAGGAAGGGCUCCCUCCAUGCGUAGUGCAGGGUCUUGUGAGAGUUGCCAGUUGGAACUCUCAGUGGUGACUUUGGAAGGAGGAGGAUAGUUGAGGACAUGAGGCAGAUGUCACUGUGAAGCAGGAGCCCUGUGGCCUUGAUCCUUUCCCCUCAACCUCCUCAAGGCCUAUAAAGCCCAGGCUGAGCAGGACCUCUGUUGGCCCAGUGUAUCUCUCCAGGCUUGGUAGAGACACAGUUCGCCUUCAAACUCCAUGACAAGGACCCGGGGGAAGCAGCUGCCACCUAUGAACACAUAAAGUGUCUCAGACCAGAGGACGUGGCUGAGGCUGUCAUCUACGUUCUUAGCACACCCCCACAUGUUCAGGUUGGUGACAUCCAGAUGAGGCCCACAGAGCAGGUGACCUAGUGUUCUGUGGGGAGAUCCUACCUUCUCCACCCUUCACGGCUCGCCUCCUGCCUCUGGAUUUUAGGUGUUGAUUUCUGGACUCUGCAGCUUACUUUCUAUGUCCACCCCACUAAGGGAUAGACAGCUUGUCAGACUAUUCCCAUUACAAAUGUGAAAAACUGGGCCGGGAAGAGAAGACAGAAUCUCGACUGUUCUAUCUAACUUCUUCUGAGUCCUCUUGGGGCUCCGUAACCUUUGCUCUCCUGUGCCUCUUCCUUUUGACCUAGGAAAGGGAUGUACCUAGAAGGGGCAUUGCUCUAUCCUCUUACACCCUACCCCCCACCCCUUAGGGUUGGAGCAGCAGAGACCUCAUCUUUUACCUGUGUGGUUGUCCAGGGUUCCAGGUUCCCUUCCCAACCCUCCUGCCUCCCCCCCCCCCAGCUCUCCAGCCAAGUUUUGGCCCUCACCCUGGGGUCCUUACCACGGCUACAGAGUAUCAGGGUCUGUCUCCUACUACAUUUCACUGUAACAAUUAAAGAGAGAGAUUACAACCUACUCUA
Mus musculus (house mouse) is the source of this 1957-nucleotide RNA transcript. It is a transcript of the gene named dehydrogenase/reductase 11, with no coding region annotated. The transcript is spliced from 6 exons. The record is from RefSeq and is marked validated. Lineage: Eukaryota; Metazoa; Chordata; Mammalia; Rodentia; Muridae.